This is a non-coding RNA of Mucidula mucida, 98 nucleotides long. The record is from the annotation of a GenBank genome assembly. Lineage: Eukaryota; Fungi; Basidiomycota; Agaricomycetes; Agaricales; Physalacriaceae.
UCGGAUGUGGUGUAAAGGCUAACAUUAGCGCCGCACAUUAUUCUAGUCCGUCAUAGAGUACUGCGCGCUAGCUCGGGGUUCGAAUCCCCGCAUCUGUA